AUUGAACGCUGGCGGCAUGCCUAACACAUGCAAGUCGAACGGCAGCACGGCAGUAGCAAUACUGUGGGUGGCGAGUGGCGGACGGGUGAGGAAUACGUCGGAAUCUGCCCAGUCGUGGGGGAUAACUAGCCGAAAGGUUAGCUAAUACCGCAUACGACCGAGAGGUGAAAGCGGGGGACCGCAAGGCCUCGCGCGAUUGGAUGAGCCGACGUCGGAUUAGCUAGUUGUGGGGUAAAGGCCACCAAGGCGACGAUCCGUAGCUGGUCUGAGAGGAUGAUCAGCCACACUGGAACUGAGACACGGUCCAGACUCCUACGGGAGGCAGCAGUGGGGAAUAUUGGACAAUGGGCGCAAGCCUGAUCCAGCAAUGCCGCGUGUGUGAAGAAGGCC
Molecule: ribosomal RNA, 390 nt
Filed under: uncultured bacterium
Lineage: Bacteria
Description: bacterial SSU rRNA
Rfam family: Bacterial small subunit ribosomal RNA
Source: RNAcentral